GACGAACGCUGGCGGCGUGCUUAACACAUGCAAGUCGAACGGAAAGGCCCUGCUUUUGUGGGGUGCUCGAGUGGCGAACGGGUGAGUAACACGUGAGUAACCUGCCCUUCACUUUGGGAUAACUUCAGGAAACUGGGGCUAAUACCGGAUAGGAGCUUCUGUUGGAGUGUGGGGGGGGGAAAGUUUCUGCGGUUGGGGUUGGACUCGCGGCUUAUCAGCUUGUUGGUGGGGUAGUGGCAUACCAAGGCUUUGGCGGGUCGCCGGCCUGAGAGGGUGACCGGCCACAUUGGGACUGCGAUACGGCCCAGACUCCUACGGGAGGCAGCAGUGGGGAAUAUUGCACAAUGGGCGGAAGCCUGAUGCAGCGACGCCGCGUGCGGGAUGACGGCCUUCGGGUUGUAAACCGCUUUCGCCUGAGACGAAGCGUGAGUGACGGUAACGGGUAAAGAAGCACCGGCUAACUACGUG
Molecule: ribosomal RNA, 468 nt
Filed under: uncultured bacterium
Lineage: Bacteria
Description: partial 16S ribosomal RNA
Rfam family: Bacterial small subunit ribosomal RNA
Source: RNAcentral